CAACAACUGUAGGAAACUGAACACAGAGGCCCUGUAGUCUGAAGGAGGAAUUCCUCAGCUUUGAUUUCAGUCAAUUACAGUCAGGGACAGUUUGUUUGAAUUGAUUUUAGACUGGAUUAGUUAAAACAAGUAACAAUGUAAGUUUGCAUAAAUACUAUUACAUGCCAUUCAUCUAGUGUUGGACUGGGAUUAUAAAUGAUGGUGAGAAUCCAAAAACAGACCAGCCUAAUCCCGAGAGAAGAGUAUAGAGCUCUUUGUUUUCAUCAACAUUUUUAUAUGUAUCUCCUGCUUUGAUAAAAGCAACACAAUGCACUGUUACAGUGAUGCAUAAUAGUCAAUGGUCUCACUUGUCCCUGCACUUUGUAACCUCAGUGAGCAGGUAGGAUCACAGAGCGCUUGUAUGGCAGUACAUCACAAGUCAGCACCAACUAUCACCAAUUUUGGUGAAAAUGGAAAAAAUUUUUCUGGAAAAAAUGUUUUCUGGUUUUCCCUCUUACUAUGGGUCUUCCAGCUGCUCUGCCUCAACCGAUUUAUGGAGUUUCUUGAAAGCAACCUGUAACCUCAGUGAGCGUAUCGGAGCUACAAGUUAGCUCUGCUAGCGGACUCGGCUCAGAGCACCUCCGCAGAGUGUUGGUGGGUACACACCCUUUCCACCCAGGAAAGUGCACAACACAGCUGGGCUCAGCAGCCUCUACGGACAUCAUGACAGAGGUAAAGAGCCCGAAGAAGACUUUGACGGAGGAGGCUCUGAAGAGAGUAACCAAGCAGGAGGCAAGAUACAAGAGUCUCAGACUGGCUGCUUUUUUUUUUUGCUUGUUGGCAACAUCUUUACUGAAUAAAAGGCAGCAGACAGAUGCUGAGCUGGAUGGACAUUCACAGAGGAUGCCACAUCAGCGGCUCUCCACUCAGUCUUCACACACCUGGAGAAUAAGAACAGCUACAUCCAGAUGAUGUUUGCGAAGAUGUGAAAUCCUGAAGGACAGAAGCUGUCAUCAGUUGAACAAAGUGUCUGUAUUGGGUUCCUAAUACCACAACAUGUAUUGCCAGUCACCAGAGGUGGCAAGUAACGAAGUAAAAAUACUUUGUUACUGUACUUAAGUAGAUUUUUCAGGUAUCUGUACUUUACUUGAGUAUUUAUUUUUCUGACGACUUUUUACUUUUACUCCCUACAUUAAAUUUUUUUUUUUUGUACUUUCUACUCCUUACAUUGUCAAAACAGGCUUGUUACUUUUUUUUUUUUUUACGUGACUACCUAGAGAGGGAAAGUCAACCACUGAGAGAAGCGGCGUGAGUUACAGGUUAUGUUAGAGAGAAAACUUGCAGCAGCGACAUGGAGAAAGAAAGUGAACCAACCAGGGAACGACGACGCAUCAUAUUCGGAGAAGCAAGACAUUCCCCUCCAUGACCUUAUUUAAGAGAACUGUUUGAGGUUGUCGGCUCCAAGAAUGAUUCAUGGCGAAUGCGUUGUGUCCUGUGCCAACCUAAAAACCACGAGCUUCUGGCGUUCAAGAACUCUCCGUCAAAUCUGAAUAAACACAUCCAGGUAAUUGUAUUUUCAGUUGUUAUCAUUAGCUCAUGUAGCAUUUCUUGUAGGCUAGUUUACAACGUUAGCAAUGCUAUGGGAACACAUUGUUAUGAUACUAUAG
RNAcentral lists this long non-coding RNA (1646 nucleotides) under Sparus aurata (gilthead seabream). RNAcentral's name for it is "lncRNA (ENSSAUG00010022918.1)". The record is from RNAcentral. Lineage: Eukaryota; Metazoa; Chordata; Actinopteri; Spariformes; Sparidae.